RNAcentral lists this ribosomal RNA (928 nucleotides) under Bengalia peuhi. RNAcentral's name for it is "eukaryotic LSU rRNA". It matches the Rfam family "Eukaryotic large subunit ribosomal RNA", at positions 114 to 866 of the family's 3401-position model. Lineage: Eukaryota; Metazoa; Arthropoda; Insecta; Diptera; Calliphoridae. The record is from RNAcentral.
CUAAGUCACUUUGUCUUUAUGGCAAAUGUGAGAUGCAGUGUAUGGAAUGUCAAAUUUCUAGUAUGAGAAAUUAACUAUUUAAGUCCUUCUUAAAUGAGGCCAUUUACCCAAAGAGGGUGCCAGGCCCGUAUAAAGUUAAUGAUUACUAGAUGGCAUUUCCAAAGAGUCGUGUUGCUUGAUAGUGCAGCACUAAGUGGGUGGUAAACUCCAUCUAAAACUAAAUAUAACCAUGAGACCGAUAGUAAACAAGUACCGUGAGGGAAAGUUGAAAAGAACUCUGAAUAGAGAGUUAAAUAGUACGUGAAACUGCUUAGAGGUUAAGCCCGAUGAACCUGAAUAUCCGUUAUAGAAAAUUCAUCAUUAUGAUUUUAAUAUUAAUAAUAUUAUAAUAAUGGUGUGCAUUUUUUCUAUAUAUGGACAUUGUAAUCUAUUAAUAUAAAUAUAUUUAUCACAAGGUCAUUUGCGUAAGUUUAUUCGAAUUAUUUUGCUUGCAAUUUAAUAUAGAAUAAAUGCUCAUGAUUUGAUAAAGUGUUGAUAGAUUUAUUAUAUAUAGUGCUUAAAUAUUUAUAUUUUAUAAUAGCAUAUUAAUCAUUGAUUUUUAUGUUUAUUAUAUGCACUUAUAUGAUUAACAAUGCGAAAGAUUCAGGAUACCUUCGGGACCCGUCUUGAAACACGGACCAAGGAGUCUAACAUAUUUGCAAGUUAUUGGGAAUUAAAACCUAAUAGCGUAAUUAACAUAACUUAAUAAUGGGAUUAGUUUUUAGCCUAUUUAUAGUCUAUUAAUUCAAUCCCGGGGCGUUCUAUACAGUUAUGUAUAAUAAUAUUUAUAUUAUUUAUACCUCUAACUAGAGCGUACCUUGAGCAUAUAUGCUGUGACCCGAAAGAUGGUGAACUAUACUUGAUCAGGUUGAAGUCAGGGGAAACCCUG